This 255-nucleotide ribosomal RNA is filed under the name Triticum aestivum (bread wheat). Its description in RNAcentral is "partial small subunit ribosomal RNA". Lineage: Eukaryota; Viridiplantae; Streptophyta; Magnoliopsida; Poales; Poaceae. The record is from RNAcentral.
AUGGAACAAUACGUCCGCCUCUGGGAGCUCCUGUCGGAUAUCCAGCUUCAUCCUGACACUGAGGACUCCACUACCUGGUCCUUGACCCCUAAUGGGCGCUACUCGGCCAGCUCUGCCUACAAGGUCCAGUUCCUUGCCUCUUUGUCCGGCCAGUUCGGGAACAUCGUGUGGAAGACCUGGGCCCCUCCAAAGUGUCGUUUCUUCGCCUGGCUCGCUGUCUAGAACCGCUUAUGGACCGUUGAUCGUUUGGCGUAA